ACCUGGCUGGCUCAGCAGGUGGAGCAUGUGACUCUUGAUCUCAAGGUUAUAAAUUUGAGCCCCAUGCUGGGUG
This 73-nucleotide transfer RNA is filed under the name Felis catus (domestic cat). It matches the Rfam family "tRNA". Rfam says of the family: Transfer RNA (tRNA) molecules are approximately 80 nucleotides in length. Their secondary structure includes four short double-helical elements and three loops (D, anti-codon, and T loops). The record is from Rfam by way of RNAcentral. Lineage: Eukaryota; Metazoa; Chordata; Mammalia; Carnivora; Felidae.